CUUUGAACUGGCUUUCACAUAGUUAAGCACUUGCUAGAGAAAAUCACCCCAUCUAGCAGAUAAGUUUGGUGAUUGUGAUUUUUGUAGUCUCAUCUCCUGUCUCCAUUCUUAUCCUCCUCAAAGCCCUUCUUCCACUCAACUGUCAGAAUGAUUCAAACUGCAAAUCUCAUCAUGUUACUCCAAUGCUAUUUUCAGUGCUAUACGGUUUCUUAAAAUACUGUUGCCUUUCAGACUUAAAAAUGAAUAUGAAGCACCUAGGAAUCUUGUUAAAAUGCAAGUUCUGCUUCAGAAGGUCAGAGGUAGAACCUGAGAUUCUGCAUUUCCAACAAACUUCUUUCACCAUCACAAAGGACAAAUGCAUCCUCUUGAGAGCAGUAGUUUUUGGUCUUUAUUUUGAAAUGACCUACAUUUUAACUCAACCCAGACCUUAUUUUUCUCAUUUUUAUGAAAUAAGCUCAAGGUUUGCCAAUCUAGACCAGAAAUCUCGAACUCCUAAGUAAAACAAUUAUAAUCGCUUAACACCUCUCUUAUCCUGAAGUCCUGGAAUGUCAGAGUUGGAAGAGAUCUUAGAGCUCAUUUUGUUUUAUCUCUUCAUUGUAUGGAUAAAGUGUGGUGCAAAAGAGUGAGUUCUAGGCCAGAGGUAGGCCAAUAAUUUAAUUUUCCCAACUCAUGGGCCAAGGUUCUUUCCACUGCACCAUAAUACUUAUCCCCAAUUUUAAGUUUCCUUGUCUGUCCUUCUAAACCAUCAAUUCACUCAACAACUGCUUAAGUGUAUAUAGUAUGUGCACAUCUGUGCCAUUUGUUGGGUAUGCAAAGUCUAAAAGACAGGGUGCCUGCCCUGGGAUGCUCAUGACCUAAUUAAAAGGCAUCCUUCCUGUCCUUCUCCCCACUUCUCCUGGAUCUUCUCAUCUGUAUCCUUUUCCACGUUUGUAAAUAUAAAUUCAAUAGAAAUAAAAGAAACAGUUUUAUAUAUGGCAAAUCAUGAUGAGCUAUGAAAGAAAGGUGAGUAGGGGGAUUAAAUUUUAAAAUAGAUACAAAAGGAUAAAUGUACCAUUUCUUGAGAGAAAUGGCUUUCAUCUUUAUUUUGAAGGGACCUAUAUUUUGAUUCAAUCCAGUUCCCCCAACUUGCUCACAAUUGUGUAAGUGAAAAAAAACUGUGUCUAAACAAGUGCACUAUUACUUACCCAGAGUAUAUGGUUCUGUUAACUAAGUGUUCUGUUUCUUUUUAAAGCCUGGUUAAUGGCCGGGCACUGUGGCUCACACCUAUAAUCCCAGCACUUUGGGAGGCCGAGGCAGGUGGAUCCCUGAGUUCGGGAGUUCAAGACCAGCCUGACCAACAUGGAGAAACCCCGUCUCUACUAAAAAUACAGAAUUAGUCAGGCGUGGUGGUGGGCGCCUGUAAUCCCAGCUACUCGGGAGGCUGAGGCAGGAGAAUCGCUUGAACCCGGGAGGUGGAGGUUGCAACCCAAAGCUUAUGAAAGAAGAACAAAUGUCACAGGCCCAGCUCUUCACCAGAAGCUUUGAUGAUGGCCUAGGCUUUGAAUACGUGAUGUUCUACAAUGACGUUGAGAAAAGGAUGGUUUGCUUAUUUCAAGGAGGCCCUUACCUGGAAGGACCACCUGGAUUCAUUCAUGGAGGUGCCAUUGCAACUAUGAUUGAUGCUACUGUUGGUAUGUGUGCAAUGAUGGCUGGGGGAAUUGUCAUGACUGCCAAUCUCAACAUCAAUUAUAAAAGACCUAUCCCUCUUUGUUCUGUUGUUAUGAUAAAUAGCCAACUUGAUAAAGUUGAAGGAAGGAAAUUUUUUGUUUCCUGUAAUGUUCAGAGUGUUGAUGAGAAGACCCUAUACUCAGAGGCGACAAGCUUAUUUAUAAAGCUGAAUCCUGCUAAAAGUCUGACAUAAAGAGCUGCUGGUGAACUCCAUCUCAUUCUCUCCCCUCCAGAAGAAGCAGUUGUCCCCCAAAUACUCUGCUCCCUCACUGCUGAAUCCACGUAGGGAGAAGCCUGCCAACAGUGACCUUCCGAAACAGCCUUCUGAAUACAAGGAGGAUUCAGUUUCCAUCUUCUCAACUUUUUAACACAGAAACACUUCCUGCGAGCAUAUCAACAACUCUCAGGCCAGGCGCUGUGGCUCACGCCUACAAUCCCAGCACUUUAGGAGGCCGAGGCAGGCGGAUUGCCUGAGCUCAGGAGUUCAAGAUCAGUCUGGGCAACAUGAUGAAACCCCAUCUCUACUAAAAUACAAAACAUUAGCCAGGCAUGGUGGCGUGCGCCUGUAGUCCCAGCUACUCAGGAGGCUGAGGCAGGAGAAUUGCUUGAACCCAGGAGGCGGAGGUUGCAGUGAGCCAAGAUCAUGCCACAUCACUCCAGCCUGGGCAACAGAACAAGAACCCAUCUAAAAAAAACAAAA
This 2407-nucleotide small RNA is filed under the name Pongo abelii (Sumatran orangutan). RNAcentral's name for it is "retained intron". Lineage: Eukaryota; Metazoa; Chordata; Mammalia; Primates; Hominidae. The record is from RNAcentral.